This 492-nucleotide ribosomal RNA is filed under the name uncultured bacterium. RNAcentral's name for it is "partial 16S ribosomal RNA". It matches the Rfam family "Bacterial small subunit ribosomal RNA", at positions 29 to 507 of the family's 1533-position model. The record is from RNAcentral.
AGUGAACGCUGGCGGUAGGCCUAACAGAUGCAAGUCGAACGGCAGCACAGUAAGAGCUUGCUCUUACGGGUGGCGAGUGGCGGACGGGUGAGGAAUACAUCGGAAUCUACUUUUUCGUGGGGGAUAACGUAGGGAAACUUACGCUAAUACCGCAUACGACCUACGGGUGAAAGCAGGGGAUCUUCGGACCUUGCGCGAUUGAAUGAGCCGAUGUCGGAUUAGCUAGUUGGCGGGGUAAAGGCCCACCAAGGCGACGAUCCGUAGCUGGUCUGAGAGGAUGAUCAGCCACACUGGAACUGAGACACGGUCCAGACUCCUACGGGAGGCAGCAGUGGGGAAUAUUGGACAAAGGGCGCAAGCCUGAUCCAGCCAUACCGCGUGGGUGAAGAAGGCCUUCGGGUUGUAAAGCCCUUUUGUUGGGAAAGAAAAGCAGCAGGUUAAUACCCCGCUGUUCUGACGGUACCCAAAGAAUAAGCACCGGCUAACUUCGUG